RNAcentral lists this ribosomal RNA (430 nucleotides) under uncultured bacterium. Its description in RNAcentral is "bacterial SSU rRNA". It matches the Rfam family "Bacterial small subunit ribosomal RNA", at positions 335 to 756 of the family's 1533-position model. The record is from RNAcentral.
ACUCCUACGGGGAGGCAGCAGUGGGGGAAUAUUGCACAAUGGGCGCAAGCCUGAUGCAGCCAUGCCGCGUGUAUGAAGAAGGCCUUCGGGUUGUAAAGUACUUUCAGCAGUGAGGAAGGUGGGUAUGUUAAUAGCAUAUUCAUUUGACGUUAGCUGCAGAAGAAGCACCGGCUAACUCCGUGCCAGCAGCCGCGGUAAUACGGAGGGUGCGAGCGUUAAUCGGAAUUACUGGGCGUAAAGCGCAUGCAGGUGGUUUGUUAAGUCAGAUGUGAAAGCCCGGGGCUCAACCUCGGAAUUGCAUUUGAAACUGGCAAACUAGAGUACUGUAGAGGGGGGUAGAAUUUCAGGUGUAGCGGUGAAAUGCGUAGAGAUCUGAAGGAUACCGGUGGCGAAGGCGGCCCCUGGACAGAUACUGACACUCAGAUGACGG